This is a long non-coding RNA of Scaptodrosophila lebanonensis, 1128 nucleotides long. RefSeq lists it as uncharacterized. The transcript has 2 exons. The record is from RefSeq and is a predicted model, not a curated record. Lineage: Eukaryota; Metazoa; Arthropoda; Insecta; Diptera; Drosophilidae.
UCGACCUCUUUCUGUUCUGACCGCUGGCACGAUCAGUUGUGCUUUAUUUAGCUGCAAUAAAUUUUGUUUAAAUUAUUAAAAGUGAAACACGUGUAUAUUUUCGUGUGCAAAUCGUGCUAUUGAGAAGCCAUCCUCAAGGAGGCUUUAUUAAAACCUUGUAAGAUCACCAUUUCACAGCGUUUAUCUGUUCCAUUUUGGAUUAUUUUUUGCUUCAAAGAAUAUUGUUGUAUGGCGACAAGAGCUAUUGUCUUGGUCGGCUCAUCCACAAUUAAACGUUGGAUUCAUCCCGUCAGAUAAUCAGGCGAAGCUGGAAUUUGAAUGCAGAAAUUAGCGACAAGGCAGAAUUUCAAUAGGCAGCAAACGUAGCAGCAGCAGCGGCGGAGAGAACUCGACUUUUACAAAGACUCCAGUGCCCUCCAAAAACCAGGAGAAAGAGCCACAUAUACUCGUAUAUGUGUACUAACGUUAACGAAUUUGGUUUCUUUAAAAUUCAGGCAGAAAUAUCAAUAUUACGAAUUUUUGCAUGCUUAACCUAAAAGCAGAGACCCUGUGCUUACAAAUUGCAUGUACAGCGCAAGUACAAAGUCCAACUUUAUUGGCAUAAUUUUAUCUAAGCAUCAGCUAUUAAUAGCAAUUGUUUAAAGUAACUGUAUUUUGGUUUGUGCAAAAGCAAAAGUUUUUCUUUAUCAAAAGUUCAAAAGUAAGAGAGCCUCUUACAUAGGCAUAUAAUUAAUUCAUACAUACAUAUAUAUUAGAGCAGGCAUUUGCAACUCAAUAAGUGCUGAGUUUGGAAAUAUUAAUAUCUUAAUUUUUUUUAUUUUUUUUUAUUGGAGAUCGAAAGUGUUGAAAUAGUACUGCUUGUAUAAAUUAAUUUUGAUCCCAUACUAACAUACACAGCAACAUCUGGAAACCAUGGAGGCCUUCAUCGGAUUUUUCAGAGGGUCAGUCAAACUUGCAUAUCUAUUUCUUGCUUAUUUUCGAUCAUCAAGUGUACAGGUUAAUAAGUAAAUUUCAAAUAUAUAAAAGUACGGCUUUUAAAGUUUUGGGGUCAAUGCCCUUGAAAGCUUUUCGUCAACGAUUAAACAUAUGAUGCCCAGCAUCACAGCUUUUUAGUUUCAAAGUUUGUUU